UGGGGAAUCUUAGACAAUGGGGGGAACCCUGAUCUAGCCAUGCCGCGUGAGUGACGAAGGCCCUAGGGUCGUAAAGCUCUUUCAGCUGUGAAGAUAAUGACGGUAGCAGCAGAAGAAACCCCGGCUAACUCCGUGCCAGCAGCCGCGGUAAUACGGAGGGGGAUAGCGUUGUUCGGAAUUACUGGGCGUAAAGCGCGCGUAGGCGGACUAGUUAGUCAGAGGUGAAAUCCGAGGGCUCAACCCUGGAACUGCCUUUGAUACUGCUAGUCUUGAGUUCGAGAGAGGUGAGUGGAAUUCCGAGUGUAGAGGUGAAAUUCGUAGAUAUUCGGAGGAACACCAGUGGCGAAGGCGGCUCACUGGCUCGAUACUGACGCUGAGGUGCGAAAGUGUGGGGAGCAAACAGGAUUAGAUACCCGCGUAGUCC
Molecule: ribosomal RNA, 424 nt
Filed under: uncultured prokaryote
Description: bacterial SSU rRNA
Rfam family: Bacterial small subunit ribosomal RNA
Source: RNAcentral